This 1048-nucleotide long non-coding RNA is filed under the name Homo sapiens (human). RNAcentral's name for it is "PREDICTED lncRNA (TCONS_00123731)". Lineage: Eukaryota; Metazoa; Chordata; Mammalia; Primates; Hominidae. The record is from RNAcentral.
GCCCUCUCAGCAUUAUGCAGUGCCCCUCCUCUGUCUGCAUCCCCAGGACCACCAUGGGUGGGGAGGUCAGAGAUUGGGGAGCACCUAUAGAGGCUCUAAUGCUCUAAGGUGACAGUGAUGAGGACCUGGGUGCACCCAUGAGUGGAGAAGCUAGGCCUGUCCAGAGAAGCAAGACAAACACACACAUAUGUGCGCGCACACACACACACACAGGCACACAUGCAUACACAAACACAUUGCAUGCACACAUGUCAGUUCAGGGGAUAGAGGACACUGACUCUGGGCCCUGUUGACCCAAGCAGGCUUCCAUUGUGGUGGGUUGUGUCACCCCACAAUGUCACUGUUGCUGAGUCUCCAUCGCCUCUGUGUUGUGGAGCAGUUAGAGACACACAGCAGUGUCUGUGAGUGGCUCUGUUGAAGGACCGUUUUCUAGAUGAGAGGCACAUCUCAACACAGCUCACUGAUCAGACUCAGCAAUUCCAUUCUGCAUCUUUUCUCAUCACCUCCGUGACCACCCAGGACAACCCCAUCAGGGCCCUGUCACCAGGCCCAGUCCAGCUCCAUGAUAACCAAGACACAGGUCCAGAGACAACCAUCCUGCAUCAUGCCUGCAUCUGAACCCCCUUGGUGGGUAGUGACCAGCAUAACAUGGAAGAAGCCAGGGCAGCAUGCGGCCAGCUGCUCUGCAGCCCCAGAUGGCUCCUGGGCCUUGGGAAGUCAUUCUUAAAGGGGAAGCUGGUCACUUUGAGGUCCCUGAAGGGAAGGGUGAAUGUGCAUCCCAACAGCCCUGGCAGCCAGCAGCAUGCCAUACAUCUUCUCACCCAACCUGUGUGACAGAGGGCCCCUCCUGGGGCACAAGUCCCAUACCUAAAGCAUCCUGUCCCAGUUGGACCUCAUCCUGAGCCCUGGGAGGGGAGGGGCAUCAUGGGCCCCCCUGCAGCAGCCAGGAUUACCACCCAGGGGACUUGGCCUUCUGUGGCCCUGGCCAGACUUAGAAUUUGGCCCAAGACAAGACAAACUCACUCGGAGCAGCUUUUCAGUACCCGGG